This 1367-nucleotide long non-coding RNA is filed under the name Callithrix jacchus (white-tufted-ear marmoset). Its description in RNAcentral is "lncRNA (ENSCJAG00000079330.1)". Lineage: Eukaryota; Metazoa; Chordata; Mammalia; Primates; Cebidae. The record is from RNAcentral.
GUUGUGUGACGUGUAUGGGCUCCUAGAGACCUCCAGAGGGGUCCACAGGGCACAGAGAAGGGGGCAGUUUCUCCUGCAUCCUAAGUCCUGCCUCCCCAUGCUCCCUCCCUCUUCAGUGCUGCCCUCCCUCUCUGUACUCUGUAGGGCCAUGAUUCCUUUUGGGAAAAAGAGCAUUAGUUAUUGACUUUUUUUUUUUUUUUUUUUUUUUAAACAGGGUCUCUGUUGCCCAGGCUGGAGUGCAGUGUUAUGAUCUUGGCUCACUGCAGCCUCUGCCUCCUAGGUUCAAGCAAAUUCUUCUGCCUUCGCCUCCCGAGGUGCUGAAAUUACAGGCACACACCACCACACCUGUCUAAUUUUUGUAUUUUUAGAAGAGAUGGGGUUGGUCAGGCUGAUCUUGAUCUCCUGACCUCAAGUGAUCCUCCUGCCUUGGCCUCCCAAGGUGCUGGGAUUACAGGCAUGAGCCACUGUGCCUGGCAUAGUUUUUUAAAAUUCCAGGCUUGAGGUUCCUAGACAAUCAGUCAGCUCAUAAUCUUCCAAGUCGCAAAGUACCCCCCACCCCGCCUGCCAAACACACUUUCAGAAACCCCUGUCUUCCAACAAGAUGACCUUGGCUUUCUUUCAGCCUCCUUUGUUGAAGCUGUUGACUGGUAUCACCAGGAUAAACACAGGCGUGGGCUGACUGCUGGGAGCGGAGGUGCUGGGCCUGAUUUAGCUUCUCGACCUUGAGGGGCUAGCUGAUGGGGCAGGUUUCCUGGGUGGGAUUAUAAGAAAUCCUAGGGCAUCCUUGGGUGGUGUGUGUGGGGUCCAAGUGUGUUCUGAGUCUGUAUGACCAUAUUGAGUGGAUGUGCUUGGGCAUUCUUCCAGGGAGAGGGUCAGUAGUUUUUAUCGGUUUCUCAAAGGGGCCUGUGACCUUCAAAACGUUAAGGAAGCUGGCCUGGAUGAUCUCCGAUGAGGUCCUUCCUGUUUCAGCCUCGGCACUUAGGAGCAGGAUGAGCAAUUGGAAUUGCCAGCACUCAGCCUCAGAGAGGAAGGCAGAAUCAAGAAUGGCCACAUGUUUGAGGAGAGCUGAUAACAGAGCAGGAUGAGUGAGGAGUUAGCUCCGAGGAGACAGAGGCAGCAGCACAAGUAGUAGGGACUUUGGGGUAAGAAAAAUUAAUGUCCUCUCGAAGAUGUAAAGGCAUUUGACCCAUACAAUAAAAAUUAGUGGCCGGGCGUGGUGGCUUAUGCCUGUAAUUCCAGCACUUUGGGAGGCCGAGGUGGGCAGAUCACCUGAGGUCAGGAGUUCGAGACCAGCCUGGCCAACAUGGGAAAACCCGUCUCUACUAAAACUACAAAAAUUAGCUGGUCGUGGUGACGGGUGCUUGUAA